RNAcentral lists this ribosomal RNA (868 nucleotides) under uncultured bacterium. RNAcentral's name for it is "bacterial SSU rRNA". It matches the Rfam family "Bacterial small subunit ribosomal RNA", at positions 56 to 924 of the family's 1533-position model. The record is from RNAcentral.
UGCAGUCGNNCGAGAAGCUUAGGGCUUGCCCUAAGUGGAGAGUGGCGCACGGGUGAGUAACACGUAGGCAACCUGCCCCUGAGAGUGGGAUAACCAUUGGAAACGAUGGCUAAUACCGCAUAUUGUCCUUAUACCGCAUGGUAUUUGGAUGAAACACUCCGGUGCUCAGGGAUGGGCCUGCGGCGGAUUAGCUUGUUGGUAGGGUAACGGCCUACCAAGGCUACGAUCUGUAGCUGGUCUGAGAGGAUGAUCAGCCACACUGGCACUGAGACACGGGCCAGACUCCUACGGGAGGCAGCAGUAAGGAAUAUUGCGCAAUGGGCGAAAGCCUGACGCAGCCACGCCGCGUGGAGGAAGACACCCCUAUGGGGCGUAAACUCCUUUUAUAUGAGAAGAAAGUCCCGGUCGCCGGGGCCUGACGGUAUCAUAUGAAUAAGCACCGGCUAACUCCGUGCCAGCAGCCGCGGUAAUACGGAGGGUGCAAGCGUUGUCCGGAUUUACUGGGUGUAAAGGGUGUGUAGGUGGAAUUGCAAGUCAGUGGUGAAAUCCUGCGGCUUAACCGUAGAACUGCCAUUGAUACUGCUUUUCUUGAGUGCUGGAGAGGUCACUAGAAUUCGUGGUGUAGCGGUGAAAUGCGUAGAUAUCACGAGGAAUACCAGANGCGUANGCGGGUGACUGGACAGAUACUGACACUGANGCACGAAAGCGUGGGGAGCAAACAGGAUUAGAUACCCUGGUAGUCCACGCCGUAAACGAUGGAUGCUCGAUGCUGCCCUGUAUGGGGCAGUGUCCAAGCUAACGCGUUAAGCAUCCCACCUGGGGAGUACGCUCGCAAGANUGAAACUCAAANNAAUNNANGGGGGCCCGC